GACGAACGCUGGCGGCGUGCUUAACACAUGCAAGUCGAACGGAAAGACCCUGCUAUUGUGGUUUGCUCGAGUGGCGAACGGGUGUGUAACACGUGGGUAACCUGCCCUUGACUUUGGGAUAACUUCACGAAACUGUGGCUAAUACCAGAUAGGAGCACCUGCUGAAUGAAUGGUGUUGGAAAGUUUCAGCGGGUGGGGAUGGACUCGCGUCUUAUCAGCUUGUGGGUGGGGUAGUGGAUUACCAAGACUUUGACGGGUAGCAGGCCUGAGAGGGUGACCGGACACAUUGGAACUGAGAUACGGCACAGACUACUCCGGGACGCAGCAGUGGGGAAUAUUGCACAAUGGGAGGAAGCCUAAUGCAGUAACGCCGCGCGGGGGAUGACGACAUUGGGGUUGUAACCCGCUUUCGCCUGUGACGAAGAGUGAGUGACGGUAAUGGGUAAAGAAGCCCCGGCUAACUACGUG
RNAcentral lists this ribosomal RNA (468 nucleotides) under uncultured bacterium. Its description in RNAcentral is "partial 16S ribosomal RNA". It matches the Rfam family "Bacterial small subunit ribosomal RNA", at positions 28 to 507 of the family's 1533-position model. The record is from RNAcentral.